Molecule: long non-coding RNA, 338 nt
Filed under: Manihot esculenta (cassava)
Lineage: Eukaryota; Viridiplantae; Streptophyta; Magnoliopsida; Malpighiales; Euphorbiaceae
Description: long non-coding RNA (MESC_LNC010731)
Source: RNAcentral
ACAGCUAAUCUUUUAAUUACAUCAUGUCCACUACGCUAUUACAAACAUACAUUCAUGCAUAUCUUUCUUUACUCUUGCUGACUCUGACUUCCCAUAGCUAUCUCGGAACCUGCAAAACUGGGGUUAAGGGAGUGGGAUGAGCUCUAUAGCCCAGUGAGGAGGAACAAUAAAACAAUUCAUUAAUUACAUGUUUUCAUGAAAUGCAUCACAUCACAAACAUAUCAUCUCACGGAUGAACUUGUCACCAAUAGCCCUCUACUAUAUGUCAUAAUAUGUCCUGAUGUGCCAAGGAGACUAGGUCAUCACCUGGACUUCUCUUAUCUGUCUCAUAUCAUAAC